This 449-nucleotide ribosomal RNA is filed under the name uncultured prokaryote. RNAcentral describes it as "bacterial SSU rRNA". It matches the Rfam family "Bacterial small subunit ribosomal RNA", at positions 355 to 796 of the family's 1533-position model. The record is from RNAcentral.
UGGGGAAUAUUGGACAAUGGGCGAAAGCCUGAUCCAGCAAUGCCGCGUGUGUGAAGAAGGCUCUAGGGUUGUAAAGCACUUUCAGUGGGGAAGAAACGCAGGUCGCUAAUAUCGGCCUGUAAUGACGUUACCCACAGAAGAAGCACCGGCUAACUCCGUGCCAGCAGCCGCGGUAAUACGGAGGGUGCAAGCGUUAAUCGGAAUUACUGGGCGUAAAGGGCGCGUAGGCGGUUCGGUAAGUCGGAUGUGAAAGCCCCGGGCUUAACCUGGGAAUUGCACUCGAUACUGCCGAGCUAGAGUGUGGUAGAGGGAAGCGGAAUUCCGGGUGUAGCGGUGAAAUGCGUAGAUAUCCGGAGGAACAUCAGUGGCGAAGGCGGCUUCCUGGACCAACACUGACGCUGAGGCGCGAAAGCGUGGGGAGCAAACAGGAUUAGAUACCCCCGUAGUCC